This 405-nucleotide ribosomal RNA is filed under the name uncultured bacterium. RNAcentral's name for it is "partial 16S ribosomal RNA". It matches the Rfam family "Bacterial small subunit ribosomal RNA", at positions 28 to 526 of the family's 1533-position model. The record is from RNAcentral.
GACGAACGCUGGCGGCGUGCUUAACACAUGCAAGUCGAGCGGAGUGGCGAACGGGUGAGUAACGCGUGAGUAACUGCCCCCCUUCCUGGGAUCACAGUUGGAAACGGCUGCUAAUACCGGAUAGUGGUGGAUGACUCGCGUCCUAUCAGCUUGUUGUUGGGGUAGGGGCCUACCAAGGCGACGACAGGUAGCCGGCUUGAGAGGGCGACCGGCCGCCUUGGACUGGGAUCAGGCCCAAACUCCAACGGAAGGCAGCAGUCAGGAUUAUUGCACAAUUGGGGAAACACUGAUGCAGCAACGCCGCGGGCGGGAGGGCGGCCUUCGGGUUGUAAACAGCUAGAAGCCAUGACGCGUUGGUGGCAGAGGAAGCACCGGCUAACUCCGUGCCAGCGGCCGCGGUAAUUC